ACGAACGCUGGCGGCGUGCUUAACACAUGCAAGUCGAACGGUAAACCUUGGAGCUUGCUCUAAGGGGAUCAGUGGCGAACGGGUGAGUAACACGUGAGUAACCUGCCCCGGACUCUGGAAUAAGCGCUGGAAACGGCGUCUAAUACCGGAUACGAGACGCAACCGCAUGGUUAGUGUCUGGAAAGUUUUUCGGUCUGGGAUGGACUCGCGGCCUAUCAGCUUGUUGGUGAGGUAAUGGCUCACCAAGGCGACGACGGGUAGCCGGCCUGAGAGGGCGACCGGCCACACUGGGACUGAGACACGGCCCAGACUCCUACGGGAGGCAGCAGUGGGGAAUAUUGCACAAUGGGCGAAAGCCUGAUGCAGCGACGCCGCGUGAGGGAUGACGGCCUUCGGGUUGUAAACCUCUUUCAGCAGGGAAGAAGCGAAAGUGACGGUACCUGCAGAAGAAGCACCGGCUAACUACGU
This 468-nucleotide ribosomal RNA is filed under the name uncultured bacterium. RNAcentral describes it as "bacterial SSU rRNA". It matches the Rfam family "Bacterial small subunit ribosomal RNA", at positions 29 to 506 of the family's 1533-position model. The record is from RNAcentral.